GGGAUCUUAAUUUAACUGGUAAAAUGUGUGACUUUUAAUCAUUAUUAUACAGGUUCAAACCCUGUAGGUCUC
RNAcentral lists this transfer RNA (72 nucleotides) under Leptogium corticola. Its description in RNAcentral is "tRNA-Lys". It matches the Rfam family "tRNA". From Rfam's summary of the family: Transfer RNA (tRNA) molecules are approximately 80 nucleotides in length. Their secondary structure includes four short double-helical elements and three loops (D, anti-codon, and T loops). Lineage: Eukaryota; Fungi; Ascomycota; Lecanoromycetes; Peltigerales; Collemataceae. The record is from RNAcentral.